This is a microRNA precursor of Brassica oleracea var. oleracea, 120 nucleotides long. It matches the Rfam family "MIR9563 microRNA precursor family". The record is from Rfam. Lineage: Eukaryota; Viridiplantae; Streptophyta; Magnoliopsida; Brassicales; Brassicaceae.
GGAAUAUAAGAACCCGUCUCUUAACUUUUAACUAAAAAAGCUAAGAACCGGUUCUUAUAGUUUUAAGAACCGAUUCUUAACUUUUUUAGUUAAAGGUUAAGAGACGGGUUCUUAUAUUCC